UACCUGCAGCUCGAGUGGUAACCGUUAUUAUUGGGCCUAAAGCGUCCGUAGCCGGUUUGGUAAAUAUCUGGGUAAAUCGUGAGGCUUAACUUCACGAAUUUCGGAUAGACUGCCAGACUUGGGAUCGGGGGAGGUCAGAGGUACUCCAGGGGUAGCGGUGAAAUGUUGUAAUCCUUGGAGGACCACCGGUAGCGAAGGCGUCUGACUAGAACGAGUCCGACGGUGAGGGACGAAGCCCUGGGGCGCAAAACCGGAUUAGAUACCCGGGUAGUCCAGGGUGUAAACGAUGUGGGCUUUGUAUUGGAGGUCCCACGUGGGCGUCCAGUGCAGAAGAGAAGUUGUUAAAGCCCACCGCCUGGGAAGUACGGUCGCAAGGCUGAAACUUAAAGGAAUUGGCGGGGGAGCACAGCAACGGGAGGAGCGUGCGGUUU
This 431-nucleotide ribosomal RNA is filed under the name uncultured archaeon. RNAcentral's name for it is "bacterial SSU rRNA". It matches the Rfam family "Archaeal small subunit ribosomal RNA", at positions 474 to 903 of the family's 1478-position model. The record is from RNAcentral.